RNAcentral lists this ribosomal RNA (402 nucleotides) under Chalastonepsia orientalis. RNAcentral describes it as "partial 12S ribosomal RNA". Lineage: Eukaryota; Metazoa; Arthropoda; Insecta; Diptera; Mycetophilidae. The record is from RNAcentral.
CUGGGAUUAGAUACCCUGUUAUUAAAAAAGUAAAAAAAAAUAAAUAUUGAGUAGUAUGUGAUAUAUUCUUAAAACUUAAAAAAUUUGGCGGUAUUUUAUUCUAAUUAGAGGAACUUGUUUUAUAAUUGAUAAUCCUCAUUAUAUCUUACUUAAUUUUAAUAUUUGUAUAUCGUCGUCAUAAGAAUUUCUUAAAAAAAGAAAAAAUUUUCUAAAAUUUUUAUUAUAAAUUAUGUCAGAUCAAGGUGCAGUUUAUAAUUAAGAAAAAAUAAGUUACAAUAAAUAUAUUUAAUAAAUGAAUUUAAAAUUUAAAAUUUUAUUGAAAGUGGAUUUAAUAGUAAUAUUAAUAAAAAAGUUAAUUUGAUUUUAGAUCUAAAAUAUGCACAAAUCGCCCGUCACUCUCUG